Molecule: long non-coding RNA, 1330 nt
Filed under: Homo sapiens (human)
Lineage: Eukaryota; Metazoa; Chordata; Mammalia; Primates; Hominidae
Description: HSALNT0217946
Source: RNAcentral
GAGAGAGAUCAUGUGGUAUCUGCCUUUCUGUGCCUGGUUUAUUUCACUUAGCCUUAUGUCCUCCAGGCUCAUCCAUGUUGCUGUGAAUGACAGGAUUUCAUUCUUUUCCCACGAGUUUUUAAUCUUGUUAAGGACAUUUUAACUGUCAUUAACUACAGUGUAUAUUGUCUCUGCUUCUAGACUGUCAUCUCCUCAAGGACUAUGUGUUUUAGCUAAAUUCCUUGCAUGCAGUGGGCCUUAGAAGCUGGGCAAUUUCAGAAAUGAAAAUCACACUGUGAAAGUUAUUCACAGUUUAGUAUUAAGUGAAAGAAGUUAAGUGGGAAGCUAAUUUGCUCAUUUUAAAAAAUGGGGCUACUUGGGAAAAUAUUUUAAAUGGCAUUUUAAGUGUUGGGAUUUCAGGUGAAAUUUCUUAUCUUAUUUUUGUUUUUUGGUUUUCUUCAUUUUCUGCCAUGAAUAUUAUUUGUUUUGUAAUGAAAAGGUAUAUAUAAAAAAUUGAUUGUGAGUUCAAACAAUGCUAUCUGUCAGCAUUAAGCAUGAAAGUACACUAAAGAAACAUUUUGGUCUUGGUUUGGCUGCUAUUUUACAAAAGCAUUCACUAAUUUUUUUUUUUUUUUGAAUGAGAAAACAUUUAUUCCAUCUCCAAACAGCAUCCCAGGGCCGGGCAUCUCCCCUACGACUUUAUAAUACACUCGGCACAGACAGAGUUUGGGAGCCAUGGGACACCUCUGCCCUCCCCAGGCUUCCUAAGUAACAACUGCAGAAUAUUUACAUAAAGCUGGGUGUUGUCAGGCAAAGCCAUUCCCUGCUGCCAGGGGUGGGAGCAAGAAGGAAGUGCCAUGAGCACCAGCCCCGCCUUCACACCGUGGGAGGCAGCCCAGAGGCCACCGGCACAGGGUGGUGGCCCCCAGAUCAUACAGCAGUGGACACAGGGGAAGCAAACCUGAGUGAGGACACAAGAGCCUGGUCCGGCUCCGCUGCACAGGAUUGCCACCAGUUCACUGAGAGGAGUCAUUGAAAACAUGGCAUUGAGGACAGAGACUGCCACUUCAGAAUUUUCUACAUCCAACUGCUGAAGCCACUCGAAGAUAUUUCCCUCAGAGAACCAUAACCAGCUUUGGAGAAGAUGCUUCCACAUAGCUUGUUUCACAGCAUCUCAUCUCUCAUUAAAACCUUGUUGAGGGAGCAUUACUGUCUGAGCAAUGGACAUAGCUCUCAUACGAACCUUUUCAGCUAACACCGGAUAAGCCAGCUUUCUGACAGCCUCUUUCACAUCCUUGGUGCACCCUACAAUUUUUGGCAAAGUCUUUGCUGAUGGUGCAAUACAUGAUAA